This 405-nucleotide ribosomal RNA is filed under the name uncultured bacterium. Its description in RNAcentral is "bacterial SSU rRNA". It matches the Rfam family "Bacterial small subunit ribosomal RNA", at positions 354 to 776 of the family's 1533-position model. The record is from RNAcentral.
GUGGGGAAUAUUGGACAAUGGGCGCAAGCCUGAUCCAGCCAUGCCGCGUGAGUGAUGAAGGCCCUAGGGUUGUAAAGCUCUUUCGCCAGGGACGAUAAUGACGGUACCUGGAUAAGAAGCCCCGGCUAACUUCGUGCCAGCAGCCGCGGUAAUACGAAGGGGGCUAGCGUUGUUCGGAAUCACUGGGCGUAAAGCGCACGUAGGCGGACUGUUAAGUCAGGGGUGAAAUCCUGGGGCUCAACCCCAGAACUGCCCUUGAUACUGGCGGUCUUGAGUGUGGGAGAGGUUGGUGGAACUCCGAGUGUAGAGGUGAAAUUCGUAGAUAUUCGGAAGAACACCAGUGGCGAAGGCGGCCAACUGGCCCAUUACUGACGCUGAGGUGCGAAAGCGUGGGGAGCAAACAGG